GAUCAUGGCUCAGAUUGAACGCUAGCGGCAGGCCUAACACAUGCAAGUCGAACGGUAACAGGAAACAGCUUGCUGUUUCGCUGACGAGUGGCGGACGGGUGAGUAAUGUCUGGGAAACUGCCUGAUGGAGGGGGAUAACUACUGGAAACGGUAGCUAAUACCGCAUAACGUCGCAAGACCAAAGAGGGGGGACCUUCGGGCCUCUUGCCAUCGGAUGUGCCCAGAUGGGAUUAGCUUGUUGGUGGGG
This 247-nucleotide ribosomal RNA is filed under the name uncultured bacterium. Its description in RNAcentral is "partial 16S ribosomal RNA". It matches the Rfam family "Bacterial small subunit ribosomal RNA", at positions 15 to 257 of the family's 1533-position model. The record is from RNAcentral.